This 694-nucleotide ribosomal RNA is filed under the name uncultured bacterium. Its description in RNAcentral is "bacterial SSU rRNA". It matches the Rfam family "Bacterial small subunit ribosomal RNA", at positions 32 to 715 of the family's 1533-position model. The record is from RNAcentral.
AACGCUAGCUACAGGCUUAACACAUGCAAGUCGCGGGGCAGCAUGAAUUUAGCUUGCUAAAUUUGAUGGCGACCGGCGCACGGGUGAGUAACGCGUAUCCAACCUUCCCUUAUCCACGGGAUAGCCCGUCGAAAGGCGGAUUAAUACCGUAUGAGGUCAUUUGAUGGCAUCUGAUUAUGACGAAAGGUUUGGCGGAUAAGGAUGGGGAUGCGUCCGAUUAGCUUGUUGGCGGGGUAACGGCCCACCAAGGCGACGAUCGGUAGGGGUUCUGAGAGGAAGGUCCCCCACAUUGGAACUGAGACACGGUCCAAACUCCUACGGGAGGCAGCAGUGAGGAAUAUUGGUCAAUGGGCGAGAGCCUGAACCAGCCAAGUAGCGUGCAGGACGACGGCCCUAUGGGUUGUAAACUGCUUUUAUGCGGGGAUAAAGUGGGGGAUGUAUCCCUUUUUGCAGGUACCGCAUGAAUAAGGACCGGCUAAUUCCGUGCCAGCAGCCGCGGUAAUACGGAAGGUCCGGGCGUUAUCCGGAUUUAUUGGGUUUAAAGGGAGCGUAGGCUGGAGAUUAAGCGUGUUGUGAAAUGCCGCGGCUCAACCGUGGCACUGCAGCGCGAACUGGUUUCCUUGAGUGCGCUGAAAGUGGGCGGAAUUUGUGGUGUAGCGGUGAAAUGCUUAGAUAUCACGAAGAACUCCGAUUG